GACGAACGCUGGCGGUGUGCUUAAUACAUGCAAGUCGAGCGAUAAGGCCCCUUCGGGGGUACAUAAGCGGCGGACGGGUGAGUAAUACGUAGGAAAUCUACCUCAAGGAGGGGGACAACAUCGGGAAACUGGUGCUAAUACCCCAUAUGUCAUAAUCUGAAAUGGUUAUGAUGAAAGUUCUGGCGCCUUGAGAUGAGCCUGCGGCUGAUUAGCUAGUUGGUGGGGUAAAGGCCUACCAAGGCGACGAUCAGUAGCUGGUCUGAGAGGAUGAUCAGCCACAAUGGGACUGAGACACGGCCCAUACUCCUACGGGAGGCUG
Molecule: ribosomal RNA, 319 nt
Filed under: uncultured cyanobacterium
Lineage: Bacteria; Bacillati; Cyanobacteriota
Description: bacterial SSU rRNA
Rfam family: Bacterial small subunit ribosomal RNA
Source: RNAcentral